RNAcentral lists this ribosomal RNA (253 nucleotides) under uncultured bacterium. RNAcentral describes it as "partial 16S ribosomal RNA". It matches the Rfam family "Bacterial small subunit ribosomal RNA", at positions 524 to 776 of the family's 1533-position model. The record is from RNAcentral.
UACAGAGGGGGCGAGCGUUGUUCGGAAUUACUGGGCGUAAAGGGCGCGUAGGCGGCCUUCUAAGUCGAACGUGAAAUCCCCGGGCUCAACCCGGGAACUGCGUCCGAUACUGGAAGGCUUGAAUCCGGGAGAGGGAUGCGGAAUUCCAGGUGUAGCGGUGAAAUGCGUAGAUAUCUGGAGGAACACCGGUGGCGAAGGCGCCACUCUGGGCCGAAACUGACGCUGAGGAGCGAAAGCGUGGGUAGCAAACAGG